UCCCUGGUGGUCCAGUGGUUAAGACUUUACGCCCCCAAUGCAGGGUGCCUGGGUUCAACUCCUGGUCAGGGAA
RNAcentral lists this transfer RNA (73 nucleotides) under Bos indicus x Bos taurus (hybrid cattle). It matches the Rfam family "tRNA". Rfam says of the family: Transfer RNA (tRNA) molecules are approximately 80 nucleotides in length. Their secondary structure includes four short double-helical elements and three loops (D, anti-codon, and T loops). The record is from Rfam by way of RNAcentral. Lineage: Eukaryota; Metazoa; Chordata; Mammalia; Artiodactyla; Bovidae.